This 168-nucleotide small nuclear RNA is filed under the name Ipomoea nil (Japanese morning glory). Its description in RNAcentral is "U2 spliceosomal RNA". It matches the Rfam family "U2 spliceosomal RNA", at positions 57 to 192 of the family's 192-position model. From Rfam's summary of the family: U2 is a small nuclear RNA (snRNA) component of the spliceosome (involved in pre-mRNA splicing). Complementary binding between U2 snRNA (in an area lying towards the 5' end but 3' to hairpin I) and the branchpoint sequence (BPS) of the intron results the bulging out of an unpaired adenosine, on the BPS, which initiates a nucleophilic attack at the intronic 5' splice site, thus starting the first of two transesterification reactions that mediate splicing. The record is from Rfam by way of RNAcentral. Lineage: Eukaryota; Viridiplantae; Streptophyta; Magnoliopsida; Solanales; Convolvulaceae.
ACAUUUUCAUUCCUGACGGGGGGAUUUUAAUAUCUGAUACGUGGGCCAUCGGCUCACAUGAUAUUAACUCAAUUUUUCUCGAGGAAAGGUCCAUCAAGGUAGCUUGCUACUUGGGUCUUUGAGUGUCGCCUUGGUAUUGCACCAUUGCCUUGGCCUGGCACACCCCAC